Non-coding RNA from Xylaria curta, 99 nucleotides. The record is from the annotation of a GenBank genome assembly. NCBI's taxonomy places the organism in Eukaryota, Fungi, Ascomycota, Sordariomycetes, Xylariales, Xylariaceae.
GGACCCAUAGCUCAGCGGUAGAGCAUCUGAUUCCAGCUUUAAACCUUACAAAUUACAGCUGCCUCCAGAAGGUCAUCCGUUCAAAUCGGGUUGGGUUCA